This 253-nucleotide ribosomal RNA is filed under the name uncultured bacterium. RNAcentral's name for it is "partial 16S ribosomal RNA". It matches the Rfam family "Bacterial small subunit ribosomal RNA", at positions 524 to 776 of the family's 1533-position model. The record is from RNAcentral.
AACGUAGGACGCAAGCGUUAUCCGGAAUUACUGGGCGUAAAGGGCGUGCAGGCGGUCUCUUAAGUUAGGCGUGAAAGCUCCGGGCUAAACCUGGAGAGGUCGUCUGAUACUGGGGGACUAGAGUGUGGUAGAGGGGUGUGGAAUUCCGGGUGUAGUGGUGAAAUGCGUAGAUAUCCGGAGGAACACCAGUGGCGAAGGUGGCACCCGGGGCCACAACUGACUCUAAGACGCGAAAGCAUGGGUAGCGAACGGG